RNAcentral lists this ribosomal RNA (1017 nucleotides) under uncultured bacterium. RNAcentral's name for it is "bacterial SSU rRNA". It matches the Rfam family "Bacterial small subunit ribosomal RNA", at positions 355 to 1375 of the family's 1533-position model. The record is from RNAcentral.
UGAGGAAUAUUGGUCAAUGGGCGAGAGCCUGAACCAGCCAAGUAGCGUGAAGGAUGAAGGUCCUACGGAUUGUAAACUUCUUUUAUACGGGAAUAAAGUAUCCUACGUGUAGGAUUUUGUAUGUACCGUAUGAAUAAGCAUCGGCUAACUCCGUGCCAGCAGCCGCGGUAAUACGGAGGAUGCGAGCGUUAUCCGGAUUUAUUGGGUUUAAAGGGAGCGCAGACGGGAGAUUAAGUCAGUUGUGAAAGUUUGCGGCUCAACCGUAAAAUUGCAGUUGAUACUGGUUUCCUUGAGUGCAGUUGAGGCAGGCGGAAUUCGUGGUGUAGCGGUGAAAUGCUUAGAUAUCACGAAGAACCCCGAUUGCGAAGGCAGCUUGCUAAACUGUAACUGACGUUCAUGCUCGAAAGUGUGGGUAUCAAACAGGAUUAGAUACCCUGGUAGUCCACACGGUAAACGAUGGAUACUCGCUGUUGGCGAUAUACUGUCAGCGGCCAAGCGAAAGCAUUAAGUAUCCCACCUGGGGAGUACGCCGGCAACGGUGAAACUCAAAGGAAUUGACGGGGGCCCGCACAAGCGGAGGAACAUGUGGUUUAAUUCGAUGAUACGCGAGGAACCUUACCCGGGCUUAAAUUGCAGACGAAUUACGAGGAAACUUGUAAGCCGCAAGGCGUCUGUGAAGGUGCUGCAUGGUUGUCGUCAGCUCGUGCCGUGAGGUGUCGGCUUAAGUGCCAUAACGAGCGCAACCCUCGUGGUCAGUUACUAACAGGUUAAGCUGAGGACUCUGGCCAGACUGCCAUCGUAAGAUGUGAGGAAGGUGGGGAUGACGUCAAAUCAGCACGGCCCUUACGUCCGGGGCUACACACGUGUUACAAUGGGAGGUACAGAAGGCAGCUACCCGGCGACGGGAUGCCAAUCCCCAAAACCUCUCUCAGUUCGGACUGGAGUCUACAACCCGACUCCACGAAGCUGGAUUCGCUAGUAAUCGCGCAUCAGCCACGGCGCGGUGAAUACGUUCCC